UAUUUGAGAGAGAGAGAGAGAGAGAAAGAGAGAGAGAGAGAGAGAAGCAGAGGGAGAGACAGAAUCUUAAGCAGGCUCCACUCUCAGCACUAAGCUGAAAUCAAGAGUUGGAUGCUCAACCAACUGAGCCACCUAGGUGCCCCAAAGAUUCUGCUUUCACUUAAUAAUUGCUAUUUUAAAACAGUUCAUCUAUUGCCUUUCUCCUGAUGACUUUCAUUUCAGUCAAUGGCAGAAACACCAUUUCCUUUGUUUUGGAAGCCUAAAGAGUUGGAGUCAGAGCCACAUGAUCUUCAGGCUGGGAUCAGACUCCUGUCACCCCUAUCCACCCCAUUCCCACUUUUUCAUAAUCCUGGCAUUGGAGCCUCACGGUCUUUAUUUGCUCCCUCUACACAGAACGGUGGUCUCCAAGACUGAUCCUCUCCUGUUCUUUCAGCCAAUCUUCACGUCAGCGUCUCUCAAGACAUAGGGCUCCGAACUAAACACAGAACUCCAGGAUACUGUAUAGCCUGAUGGUCUUUGUGUGUGUGUGAGCUACACUUCUAAUAAAACACUGCGUAUACUGUAAACAUCUGGAUGAACACAAGGUGGCGCUACAAGCACCUACAAAGCCUAAACCCCUGGGUAUGGCUCGCUAGCACAACUCUGGCCGCACAAGUCUGUCAGAUAGGAAUUAAUAUCCUUACCUGACAGAUCAGGGUAUUGGAAAUUUAGAGAUUAAGUCAUUUGCCCAAGGUCAUACAACUAGGAAGUGGCAGAGAUAGAACUCUGCCUAAGCCAGAGUCUGAUUUAGGGGCUAACAUUCUCUUUAUCACAUUGCACUACACAUGAAAUGGUAGCCCUCAUCUUUUCCCAUUUAUUUAUUACUUCAGUGAGUCUUAAGGGGACAGUGAUCACAACCCCAUGGUGGGGGGGUUAGAAUCAUUCCUAAGGGACGUGUUCAAAAUGUACCCUCUAGUAGUCAUCCCCAAUCUGUGCUAAGAGCAACCUUUGUCAUUCUCCCUUUGCUUACUGUGCUCCAGCCACACUUCCUGCUGUCCUUAAACAUGCCUAGUUCAUUAACAUCUCAGGGUCUUUUGCACUUGCUGUUCUGCCCCAGAUCUUCUCAUCAUUCAGGCAUCAGCUCAAACAUCACUUUCUCAGUGGCGACCAUCCCAGUCACAAGUCACACUCUAUCUCAUUAUCCUGUUUUAUUUUCUUUUUAACAUUUAAUCACUAUCAGAAAGUAAUCUCAUUUGUUUAUUGUCUAUUACUCCUCAUGAGGGCUCCAAAAAAGCAGGGUUUCUGAAUUGUUCAUUGAUGUAUCCCCAGUGCCUAGAAUAGAGCCAGGUAUGUAGUAGGUACUGAAUGAAUAUUUGUUAAAUGAAUGAAUCCCCACUGUCUCCCUUGGUUCAGUCUAGUCUCACUGCAUCCAGAUCUUCUUACAUAAAUCAGACUGCUUCCUAAAAUACCAAUUUUAUCCCAUGGCCCUACUGCCCACAGAAUAAAGUCUAAUCUUCUCAAACAGGUGUCCAUACCUGCCACCAAUUAGGCUGCUCUCCCCUCAAACUUCCACACCUGCCAUUCUCAUUGACACCACUCUCCCCACUCUGUCCCCAACUUUAAGCACACAGCUUUCCCUCCUGGGAAUGCCUCCCUCCUUUCCAUUUAUUUAAAUAUCAAAUUUCAAGGCUGAAUGGACCCUGGCUAUCAGAUUAGGUAUUCCCAACCCCAGCUUUAUUAUACCCCCUAUCUGAAGUAUGUUUGUAUUAGACUGUUUAUUUCUACUCUUUAAAAAUCCUCCCUAAGUCCCCAGGAUAGGGUUUGAGGCAGGGAAGUAAGCUCAGAGAAGAAGGAGGAGCCUAACCUGGGGAGUGGGUCUCAGUUAUGUCCCCAGGGAAAACAGACUAAGGCUUCACAUUUUUCUACGUGACAGCUCUUAAGAAAACUGGAGUCAGAGACCACGUUCAUACAAGUCUGCUGUUCUAUAGGUGACAUAGUCCCAGUCCCUCAGUUCCUUCUUAAAAUGAAGCACCUAGAACUUCCAGGUGAGCACUAACUGGUGCAGGGAGUAGAGGACUAUCAGCUUCUCCCUUCUGGAGUCUAUCAAUGAAUCCAGUCAUUUUAACUUUUGGAAGGAAGCCCUUCCAAACUGCUGACUCAUUCUGAGUUUGCUAUCAGUUAAAUAUCCCAAAUCAAUGGAAGUACAUACAGCUCACCUGUCAAACUUCACAUUGUUCCCUGCUUUUUUAAUUUUGUUCUUUCCAGACUUGGUAAGAUCUUUUUGAAUCCUGACUCUGCUGCUCAGAAUCUCAAAGAGAUCUCUGCUUCUUUUGUCAUUCAUGAAUUCUUUUGAAUAGUCACUCAUAGCAAAGAAUCGAGAGAAGAGACCUGUGGUAAGUCACUGGAGACUUAUGGAACAGAACAGCAUCUCUAUAUGAAAAGUCUUACCUGAUAACAAAACAAACAACACUUUUAAUGCAUCUCUGACCAGGAUUGGUCUUGCCCUAAGAAUGCCAGCCACAACAUCCCCUGUGCCUAGAGACACCUGCCAGACAGUACAGUCUAAGAAGGGAGUAGGUUCCAAGGGACUCUGGCCAAUCUCUGCUGUUUCUGACCCCCCUCUUCCCUAGAGACCUCCCUUUCCAUCCCCACCCCAAGAACAGCUCCUCUGUGUAUGUUUAGGAGUGUGAAGUCUUCUGAUGGGCUGUGAUCUCCCUAACAGCAGAGAUAAAACCAUUUAUGUUUUUUUAACCCAUUUCCUUUGAGAAGCCAAGGGACCCCAACCUGAGGCCACAGCACAGCACAAUCCCCUUUAUCUCCCUUUCCCCUGCUUUAUCUCCUCUUUCUUUCCAAACCCUCUGAGAUCUGACUGCCACCCUCACUGCUCCCAAAUGUUGCUUUCUGGAUUCUUCAGCCUUAAUGUUAGCAAUUUCACUUCAAAUUUUGUUGAACUCUUUUUGAAAUUUUCUCCUCAUUUAGUGCAUGUACCUUCACUCUCCCCUGGUUUUCCUCUAAUAUCCUAAUUCUUCUCAGUCUCCUUGGGAUGUUGCUCUGCUCACCCUUAAAUCAUUGUAUCCUCAGGGCUCUCUGUCCUUGUUCCUUUUAUAACUCCACACAUUCUUCCUGGAUGCUCUCAUCCACUCAAAGCUUCAACCACCUCUUUUUUUAAAAGUUAUUUUUAAAAAUUUAAUUUAAUUUUAUAUAUUUUUAAUUUUUUCUUUAAAUCCAAGUUAGUUAACAUAUAGUGUAAUAAUGGUUUCAGGAACAUAAUUUAGUGAUUCAUCACUUCCAUAUGACACCCAGUGCUCAUCCCAACAAGUGCCCUCUUAAUGCCCGACACACAUUUAACUCAUUCCCCUACCCACCUCCCCUCCAGCAACCCUCAGUUUGUUUUCUGUAUUUAAGAGUCUCUUAUGGUUUGCCUUCUCUCUGUUUUUAUCUUAAUUUUCCUUUCUUCCCCUUUGUUCAUCUGUUUUGUUUCUUAAAUUCCACAUAUGCAACUACCUCUUUUAUUCUGACGACUCUGAUCAUAGCCAUCCCCUGACUCCCAGGAUAUCCUUCCAAUCUACCUUCCACCCAAACAACCAGUGAUCUUUCUAAAACGCAAAUGAAAACAUGCUACUAAGCUGUUAAAAACAAACAAAAUGCCACUUCCCUGAUUAAAUCCUUCAAAAGUUCCAUCCACACCCCACCAUGGCUAUACCAAAUUAUUUGCAGUUUCUGGAAAGCAUCAAGUUAUUUUGCACCUUUGUAGUUUUAUACAGACUACUGUAUGAAUCUAGAAUGUUCUUUCAAGUCUCCACAAAGCCUAUUCCUAAUCGUCCUUCUAGACUGGUUUUAAAUAUAAAUUAUGUUAGCAGUCCUUUUCUGACAUGUUAGUCUGGAUAGCCCUCUCAUAGACCAGUACCAUAUACUGUCAUCUCUGUGUUUUAAUUAUGUUUCCUUUUCUGUUUUCAUCCUUAGUCCGUAUUCUUUGAGGGCAGAGACUGUCCCUCAUAUCUAUCACCAGCAUUUAACACAGAGCCUUUAUAAAAUAUUUAAAUGUAAUAAAAUAAAUAGGAAAAGAGAGGACCCAGGAGGCUUUAAAGGUCUAGCGACUGGUUUCAGACUCUUUGAUGAGUGGCAACAAUCACUGAUCAAAGAAUGGACUUCACUGACACCCAGUAUGGUCUGCCUAUUGGACAUAUCCCUUAAGCACUGUAAAUUCCUAAAUGUCCAAAACUAAACUCGUGCCUUAUCCCUUUUCCUAUAAAUCUACUUUAGUGUUUGAGGUCUCUAUCCACGUACCCUCAUCUUUCCAGUCAUCCAGGCUUACAAUCACAAUCUUCUGUGUUACUUCCUUUCCCAAUAUAUCAAUUUCUAAAUCCUGACUUUAUCUCCUCAGUGUCUUUGUUUAUCCUCUAUCCCUCCUUCCCCUGGUGACAACUGUAGGACAUGACCUGGACUGGAAAGAUUAAUCUAGGCUGAGGAACCUUUAGUGGUUAUGGAUGGGGUGGUUGCCAGGGCCCUAUCACUGAGGAAGCCAUGCAUGUAUCUUCAUAUUCUCCAGCUAGGUUCCUUACCGUCAGCUCUAGCUCUUGCAUCCUUCUGUGUAUGGCUGUUGGCUGGGCUCCCUGGGAGAGCAGGCCCUGGAUCCAUCAGCUGGGCCAGGGGGCCUUGCCCAGCAGCUCUGAGGCCAGUAGGUGGCAUCUCAUUGGACUGGGGGCCCUGACAGACCUGGGUGGACCAGGGCUCUGGGCCAACUAGGUCCAUGCCUGGCCCCGAAGGCAUGGGUGGUAGGCUAUGGCUACAGCGAACGCCCUCAUCCAGUGGGCCCACCCUAUCUUGUUGGGCUUCUUGGAUGGGUGAGAACUCCUGGGAGGACUCUCCGAUGCUCAGUCGAAGUGGCGGAGAGCCAGAGCCUGCAGCUUUCUUCCGGCCUUUGGCGAGCUCGGCGAAGGAGGUGACCCGCCUAGGCGGGGAGCCAGGCCCAGCGAGGGCUGUAGGACCCUCACUCAGGCGCACUGGGCAACUCAACAUGCGUUCCAGUGAGCCCAGGCGGACAGGAGGGCUGCGCGCCAGGGUGCGAUCACAGCUUCGAGAGCGCUGGCGUCCAGUGCUAAGGUUGGGGGGCGAAGUGUUAGUGUACACUUGCCCCUCGAUCACAGCAGGGCCCACAGGAGCUGCUGCUUCCACUGAGGAACCCACUGCUUCUUGCUCCUCUGGCUGGACUUCUGGCCUCUGGAAUAGGUAAUACUCAGAGGGCUGGCUGGGGCCAGGGUCUGGACCAGGGCCUGGUGCCGGGCUUAUCUUGGUGUGUUCCUCAGAGCAGCUGGUGAUGGAAGAGCCAGCUGGGCUUGGGGAUGAUUGGGAGGACAGGUCACAGGUGACAAGUUUAUAGUAAUUCUGUGUGGCCACAACAAGACGGGCCUGGCUCUGGAAGCAGGCUGUGAGGUCAGCCACAGCUGGGCAGGGCUCACAGUGUGGGCGGUAGGAGUUGCAGUUGGCAUCGAGCUCAGGAGACGAGGCAUGAGGACAGCCAUAGCUCCCCUCCCUUCCCCCACUGUCGGGGUGGUGGGACUCACAAGACAUCUUAGACUCAGCUGGGGAGGGCUGCAGGUCCAGGUAGAAGGCGCCAGGGUCUGAGUGGCUGCAGAAGGAAGAGUUGCUGCAAGACUGUGGGGCGGAGUUGAGAUUGGCACGGGAGUUGCCAUGCAUCUUGUUGUAGAGGGUGCUGAAGGUGACCAGCACACCGUCUGAGCUGUUGCAGGAGGAGUCACUCACAUAGCCCAUGGACUGGUCAGCCGCCUCAGACUGACUGGAUGUGCUACUGCAGCGGCAGUGCUGAGGUCCUGAGCCUGAGCAUCUUGGGUUCCUUGGGGAUUCAUCUGAACUGAGUUUCCAUUCGUGAUCAAAGGAAAAGCCAGAGGUAUCACUGGCUCCACCCCCACUGCCACUCCCACCAGGCCCCCCACACUCAUCCAGUUCCAUGGUCUCCGCUUCCAGUUCUGGCCGGCAGCAGUGGCUGGUGCUGCACUGCUGGGUAUCCAAGGUGGCCACUGGCUCCUGCUCCUGCCCUUCCACUACUCCAGCCCGACUACGUGUUGCCCCCCAUGGCCUGCUCACUCUAGGGCCAGGUGGUGGCAGCUGGAAAGGGGACAGAUGUAAGGUGGGCUGACCAGCCCCAUGCAGGUGGAAGGACUGCUGGGUGGCACUAUCACCAGUGCUGUCAUCAUAUAGGUCACCAAGUCCUGGCUCAGCCACACUUUCCUGUAGCAGGAAGGGAUUGUGUCGUUUAGGGGCCCCGGGGCCUCUUCCAUCCCGCACCCUACUCUUCGUGCUGUCUGCAGACCGCGCAGAUCCCCCCGGAGCAGAGUGCAGACUGUUGUAUAGCAGCGAGUCAGCUUGUCCUAGGUCUUGAUCAGGCUGGGUGAUGCCCAGCUCAGGUGGGCAGAAGGGAUUGGAUCUUGUGCUCCCACUACCCCCACCUGCCCCUCCACAGCACUGUCUGUCUGGGACUUGACAGUGCACCAGGGGGAUGUGGUGGACGAUGAGGGUCUCUCCAGUCAGCUUUGGGGGACUAUCCAUUCUGGAAAUUUCGAACAAGGGCAUCAACAGCACCAGACACUGCCCCUGGAGCCCAGUGGGGCAGAACACAUUUCAUCAGGAGAGCUUGGCACCUGGAGAGAGAGGGAAAGAAAGGGAACCUAAUGUCACCUCCCUGGAAGUCAGGGACAUGCCCUUCCCAUAGCAUUUUCAGGUGGAGAAGAGCCCAAGAGGAGAAAAGAUUCGGAGUCAAGAUGGAGCUUGAUAACACAGCCCAACAGGGCAGGGGUACCCCACCAUACUCUGGACUGCACAGGCCCAGCUCUUGAGCACCCCCUUAAUUUUAAGUUGGCCAUGCAUCCACUUGUGACCAAAGGCAGAGCCCCUUUUAAUGCCACAUACGAAAAUCUCGGGGUUCUCAAGGGCAACACUUUCUCGUUUUCUUUCAAGGAUGUGUUCUUAGCAGUAAAUGAUGACUAGUCCUGAGUACAGAAAAGUAUGAGUAGUGACAUAACUAAGAAAAAUCAUCUAGGAUGACUGAAAGGGUGCUCAGCACUAAGGGGGAUACAGAGAUGACUUAGUCACAGUUACAGCUUGCAAGCUUUCAGAUAAGGGGAAAAUCAUGAAUACUAUAUUAUGUACUCACAGCAGUAAGCUAUAAUUUUGCAAGAAAACUAUUUUUAAAUAUUCUCUAUCAUUUGCCCCCCUAUGUCAUCUCAUUUUCUCUUCCUCUGAGCCCCAGAAUGCUUAUCCCUCUCUCAUGGCUGUGGGCUAAGGAUCCUUGCUCUCCUUACUACUGUUCUGGAGCUUUUUCUUCUUCUUUUUAAAGAUUUUGUUUUUAAGUAAUCUCUAUACCCAACGUGGGGCCUGAACUCACACCCCCAAGAUCAAGAGCCACAUGCUCCACAAACUGAGCCAGCUAGGUGCCCCUGUCCUGCAGCUUCUUGAAUACAGAGACCAAAUUGGGCAUCAAAGUGACUGAAAGUAUGCUAAUCUCUUCCUUCUCAAUGCAGGGCGGGUGUCUAUUUCUAUCUCUUUUGUAUCACUCAGGCACAACAUCACAUAAGACCUAGCAAACAUGACAGCCAUAAUACAUUCUUGUCCAGCUCAGGGUACAGAUCUUCUGAAGUGCCCAAAUUCUAUCCAGUUUCAGCUCAGAACUUUCACUGUGGGGGUCUCCUAGAAAGUCUUCUCUUCCCAGUUUUUCCUCUGAUAGGCUAAGGUAAAGUUCUCUCUUGUUCAAGGUCUCCUGGCCCCAAGGACACAGAGCCCACUCUGAGCUUCUCUGGUCUGUUGGCUGGACUGUGGCAGAAUGGCUUCCUCAAAUUCUAGUCUUCUGUGCUAUCAAGUUCAAUCCUAACAGUCCUCACUUGCUCAGAUGCCUCAUAUCUAAUUUCAUUCAUUUCUCUUCCUUCCCUUUUUAUUCUUGUCAUUUUCCUUCCACCCACUAUGAGUAUAAAUCCCCCACAACCUAAGUUCUCCAUCAUUUAGCUGAAUGCUUUAUACCAUCAAUUUUUAAAAUUUUAACUCAUUUAGAUUAUAGGAUCACAGCCCUUCAUGUGGAGUACAGAAAAGAUCUAGGCAAGUCACAUAUACUCAAGGACAUGAAAAGGCAAUAAUAAAUGAAAAAAUUCAAGUGGCUGAUAAAUACAUUUGUGAGGGAUACAGUUUUAAAAUAUCAUUAUUUACAAAUUAAAUUACAUCAAAAUUAAAAAGUAUUUACCCUCUUUUUCCCCCUUUCCUUUCAGAGAGGAAGACUUUGUUGGACUUCCAAUCCUUUGUGAGUUGACUGGGGGUAAUAGAUAUAGGGGUAGUAGAUACGGAGAAAGGUGGAAACUAGACAGACUAAACUGAGCUACAAGGUUUGAGUUAUAGAAAACAAGGGAAUAAAUAUUUUUUACCUUGGAUUAGGUGAUGGUUUCUUCGCUAUGACACCAAAAGCACAAGUGAAAAGUGAGAAAAUAGAUAAGGUGGAUGGACAUCAUAAAAAUUAAAAACCUUCAGGCGUCAAAGGAUACCAUCAAGAAAAGACAACCCACAAAAUGCGAGAAAAUAUUUACAAAGAGACUUCUGAUCAAAAUAUAUGAAGAACUCUUACAACCCCACAUUAAAAAGACAUAUAACCCAAUUAAAAACUGGGCAAAGACUUGCCUAGACAUUUUUCCAAAGUAAACACACAAAUGGUCAAUAAACACAUGAAAAGAUGCUCAACAUCAUUAGUCAUUAGAUAAAUGAAAACCACAUUGAGAUACCACUUCAUCCCCAGCAUGAUUCCUAAGAUACAAGACAGACAAUAAUAAAUGUGUGAAAAUGUGGAGAAAUUGGAACUCUCAAACUUUGCUGCAGGCAUUGUAAAAUGGUGCUACUUUGGAAAAAUAGUCUGACAGUGCCUUAAAAUGUUAAACAUAGAGUUACCAUAUGACCCAGCAAUUCUACUCCUAGGUAUAUACUCAAGAGAAAUGAAAACACAUGUUCACACAAAAGCGUGUAUAUGAGGGGCACCUGGCUGACUCGGUAAAGCAUGUGAGUCCUGAUCUCAGGGUUGUGAGUUCAAGCCCCAAUUGGGUAUAGAGCUUACUCAUCUAUCUAUCUAUCUAUCUAUCUAUCUAUCUAUUCAUUUAUAUUUUAUUUUUUAAUGUUUAUUUAUUUUGGAGAGAGAGAGCACAAGCAGGGGAGGGGCACAGAGAGAGGGAGACUGAGGAUCCAAAGUGGGCUCUGCACUGGCAGCAGUGAGCCCCAAUGCAGGGCUCAAACUCAUGAACUGUGAGAUCAUGACCUGAGCCAAAGUCAGAUGCUCAACCCUCUGAGCCACCCAGGCAUCCCUAUUUAUUUAUUUUUUUAAUUUGGUUUUUCUUUUUACUUUUCUUCUAAGAUUCUAUUUUUAAGUAAUCUCUUCACCCAGUGUGGGGCUUGAACCUAUAACUCUGAGAUCAAGUGUUGCAUGCUCCACUGACUGAGCCAGCCAGGCACCCCAGUGUAGUGCUUACUUUAAAAAUAAAUAAAUAUGGGCACCUAGGUGGCUUAGUGGGUUAAGCAUUCAACUCUUGAUUUUGGCUCAAGUCAUGAUCUCAUGGUUAAUGAGACUGAGCCUUGCAUCAGGCUUUGCUCUGACAGUGCAGAGCCUGUUUGGGAUUCUCUCUCUCCCUCUCUCUCUCUCUGCCCCUCCCCUGCUCAGUCGCUUACUCUCUCUCCAAAAUAAGUAAAUAAACAUUAAAAUGAAUAAUAAAUAUAUAGAUAAAGCUGCACCAAAAAAAGAUGUUAAAAAAAAUAAUGUGAUAUAUACAUACAAUGGAAUACUAUUUAGCAAUAAAAGGAAUGAAGUGGUGAUCCAUGCUACAACAUGAAUGAACUUCAAAAAGUAAAAGAAGCCAGUCAUAAAAAGCUUUUUUGUAUGAUGUAGGAUUCCAUUUACAUGAAAUUUCCAGAACAGACAAACCCACAGAGCAGAAAAUAGAUUAGUGGUUUCCAGGGACUGGGGGACUGGGGAAUGGGGAGUGACUGCUAACAGGUAUGGAGGUUCUUUCUGGGGUAAUGAAAAUGUUCUGAGAUCAGACAGUGGUGAUAAUUAUGAAAGUCUGCGAGUAAAAUCAAAACUACAGAAUUUUAUGGUAUGUGAAUUAUACCUUAACAAAGCUGUUAUUUAAAACCUUUUUAAAAAAUACACACACACAAAAGGUUAGGAGUUAUGAGGUCAGGAGGGGUGAGGAAGGGAACCAGUGUUGAGCAGUGGAGGGGAUGGGGCAUUUGCAGAAACAAGUUGAGAACAAGAAAAGAGAAAGAGAGCUGGCUUAAAGUAUGGGAUUUUAUAGAGAGAAAUAAAGAGGAUUUUUAGGAAGUUUAGCUAUGAGGUACAUGAGAUAAUUUCUCUUUGCUCCUUCAUAUCUCUUCCUUCACCAAGAAAACUUGGGUUCAAAUAUUUAUGCCACAAGGAUAACAGAAAGUUGGAAACAACCUAAAAUUCCAAUAAUAAUCAAUCAACAAAAAAGAAAAGAGCAGGGGUACCUGGGUUGCUCAGUCAGUUAAGUGUCCAAUACUUUUUUUUUUCUUAAUUUUUUAAUGUUUAUUUAUCUUUGAGGGGGGUGGUGCAUAUAUAGAGGGAGACACAGAAUCGGAAGCAGGCUCCAGGCUCCGAGCUAUCAGCACGGAGCCAGAUGCAGGGCUUUAACUCACAGGCCCAGAGAUCAUGGCCUAAACCAAAGUCGGACACCCAAUUGACUAAGCCACUCAGGCACCCCAAGUGUCGCUUGAUUUUGGCUCAGGUUUCUCUCAGUUGGUAAGAGCAAGCCCUGUGUUGGGCUCUGCACUGACAGUGUGCAGUCUGCUUGGGAUUUUCUCUCUCCUCUCUC
Acinonyx jubatus (cheetah) is the source of this 10850-nucleotide long non-coding RNA. RefSeq lists it as uncharacterized. The transcript is spliced from 2 exons. The record is from RefSeq and is a predicted model, not a curated record. NCBI's taxonomy places the organism in Eukaryota, Metazoa, Chordata, Mammalia, Carnivora, Felidae.